This 648-nucleotide long non-coding RNA is filed under the name Marmota monax (woodchuck). Lineage: Eukaryota; Metazoa; Chordata; Mammalia; Rodentia; Sciuridae. The record is from RNAcentral.
GGACGCCAUGGGCUACCAGGGUUGUAGUGGUAGGCAGGGUGGGGGUGAGGCUUGGAUGCCCAGAAAGGUCUAUUCUAUUUUUUAAUAGCUUUAUUGAAAUAUAAUUUACAUACCAUAAGAUUCACUCCUUCUAAAUGUACAAUUUUUAAUUCAUUUACUACAUUGGGUAAAUACCUACAUAACUAGCUUUAUAGUAUUUUAGCAUUCCAAUAAGAUCUCUACAGCCCACCUCUGGCCCCUGGCAACCACUGGACAGCAUUUAACUUUUUGUCUCAUAUUUGCCUCAGAAAGGUGUAUUCUUAUUCUUCCCAUUAUCUCCUACCCUUCUUCCUCCAUUUUACCCUGGUUGACCUGCAGGUGGGUGGUAGGACCUUCUGACCAGUUACUUGGGAUGCUAGGCCAUAGGAGCACAAGAGCUAUGGGUAUCAUUUAGAGGGGUGACCUUACAUGCUAGGCUGGUUCAAGUGGUUCCUACCACUUAAAGGGAGAGUUCUGGCCUCUUCUGUAAAUCUUAGUUGAAAGAGCUUGGUUUGAUUCCUGAUGCUGGUACUGUGUGGCUGUGACUUUGAACAAGUCAGUUAUUCUGAGCCUUAGUCAUUCAGUUCCAGCACAGAAUGUAGAAGCAAAUAGAUUUUUUUUUUUUUUUUU